AAAGCAAAGAGACCUUUACAUUUUAUGAAUAAUAGUAGUAUUCACUAUUGAUUCUAAGAAUAUUUUUAUUUCUUAUAAGUUAUUAAUAGUUAAAAGUUUAGAGAAAAUUAAAGCCCGUUUAUCUUGAUAAAAAAUUAAAAUUAUUUGUAUGAUGCAUAAUAAAAACCAUUCUUUAAAUAAAUGUACUUGCUCUUUUACCAAAAACUCUACGCCAAUCACAAUUGUAAAAAUGCUGAAUGCGUUUGUAGUUAUAUUGUAAUAUAAUAUUAUGCCGAGAUAGAUGGGGAAAAUUAAUGUUAGUGAUGAAGUCCUAUAAUUCAGUAAGUGAAAAAUGAAAAAUGAUAGCAAAACGUGAUACAAUUUUGUGGGGAGAAAAUCUUAUUUUAAUGGUAUUGUCAAAUAUGGUUACUUGGGGCAGUUUUAAAUUUUAAUUUGAAGUAACGAAAAAACAAAUAUAGUUAGUUAAUUUUAUCAGGUAACCCAUAAAUUUUAACUAGGUUUACAAAAUAAUGUGAAAAUAUGCAAUU
Cinara cedri is the source of this 527-nucleotide non-coding RNA. NCBI's taxonomy places the organism in Eukaryota, Metazoa, Arthropoda, Insecta, Hemiptera, Aphididae. The record is from the annotation of a GenBank genome assembly.